AUUGAACGCUGGCGGCAUGCUUUACACAUGCAAGUCGAACGGCAGCACGGGAGCUUGCUCCUGGUGGCGAGUGGCGAACGGGUGAGUAAUGCAUCGGAACGUACCCAGUAGUGGGGGAUAGCCCGGCGAAAGCCGGAUUAAUACCGCAUAUUUCCUGAGGGAGAAAGCGGGGGACCUUCGGGCCUCGCGCUACUGGAGCGGCUGAUGUCGGAUUAGCUAGUUGGUGAGGUAAAGGCUCACCAAGGCGACGAUCCGUAGCUGGUCUGAGAGGAUGAUCAGCCACACUGGGACUGAGACACGGCCCAGACUCCUACGGGAGGCAGCAGUGGGGAAUUUUGGACAAUGGGGGAAACCCUGAUCCAGCCAUGCCGCGUGAGUGAAGAAGGCCUUCGGUUGUAAGACU
This 403-nucleotide ribosomal RNA is filed under the name uncultured bacterium. RNAcentral describes it as "bacterial SSU rRNA". It matches the Rfam family "Bacterial small subunit ribosomal RNA", at positions 30 to 432 of the family's 1533-position model. The record is from RNAcentral.